CAGUAGCCGCGGUAAUACAGAGGGUGCAAGCGUUAAUCGGAAUUACUGGGCGUAAAGCGCGCGUAGGUGGUUUGUUAAGUUGGAUGUGAAAUCCCCGGGCUCAACCUGGGAACUGCAUUCAAAACUGACUGACUAGAGUAUGGUAGAGGGUGGUGGAAUUUCCUGUGUAGCGGUGAAAUGCGUAGAUAUAGGAAGGAACACCAGUGGCGAAGGCGACCACCUGGACUAAUACUGACACUGAGGUGCGAAAGCGUGGGGAGCAAACAGGAUUAGAGACCCGUGUAGUCCCUGUCUCUUAUAC
Molecule: ribosomal RNA, 301 nt
Filed under: uncultured bacterium
Lineage: Bacteria
Description: partial 16S ribosomal RNA
Rfam family: Bacterial small subunit ribosomal RNA
Source: RNAcentral